GCCCCCGUAGCUCAGCGGUAGAGCGGGAGACUACGUAUCCAGGCCGCUGGUUCGAAACUAGCCGGAGGCA
Molecule: transfer RNA, 70 nt
Filed under: Phytophthora infestans (potato late blight agent)
Lineage: Eukaryota; Oomycota; Peronosporomycetes; Peronosporales; Peronosporaceae
Also listed under: 1 other name
Rfam family: tRNA
About the family: Transfer RNA (tRNA) molecules are approximately 80 nucleotides in length. Their secondary structure includes four short double-helical elements and three loops (D, anti-codon, and T loops).
Source: Rfam by way of RNAcentral